CGGAACGGGUGAGUAACGCGUGAGGAACCUGCCUCAAAGAGGGGGACAACAGUUGGAAACGACUGCUAAUACCGCAUAAGCCCACGGCUCGGCAUCGAGCAGAGGGAAAAGGAGCAAUCCGCUUUGAGGUGGCCUCGCGUCCGAUUAGCUAGUUGGUGAGGUAACGGCCCACCAAGGCGACGAUCGGUAGCCGGACUGAGAGGUUGAACGGCCACAUUGGGACUGAGACACGGCCCAG
Molecule: ribosomal RNA, 238 nt
Filed under: uncultured bacterium
Lineage: Bacteria
Description: partial 16S ribosomal RNA
Rfam family: Bacterial small subunit ribosomal RNA
Source: RNAcentral